CUCCGAAUGGUGUAGUUGGUUCAUCACGUUCGACUGUAAAUCGAAAGGUCCCUAGUUCGAUUCUGGGUUCGGAGA
RNAcentral lists this transfer RNA (75 nucleotides) under Colletotrichum higginsianum. Its description in RNAcentral is "tRNA-Tyr". It matches the Rfam family "tRNA". From Rfam's summary of the family: Transfer RNA (tRNA) molecules are approximately 80 nucleotides in length. RNAcentral also lists the same sequence under 5 other names. Lineage: Eukaryota; Fungi; Ascomycota; Sordariomycetes; Glomerellales; Glomerellaceae. The record is from RNAcentral.